CAUAGCUUAAUGAAUAUAUUAGGUUAUUCCUGCCCAAUGAUUUAAAUGGCCGCAGUACCUUGACUGUGCUAAGGUAGCAUAAUAAUUUGGCUUUUAAUUUAAGUCUAGAAUGAAAGGAAACUAGAGAGGCUGUCUUAUAACUAAUUAAUAAAUUUUCUUAUAAGGUGAAAAUUCCUUAAAGUAUAUUAGACGAGAAGACCCUUAGAGUUUUAAAUUUUUUUGUUGGGGCGACAAAGUUACAAUAAACUUACUUUUAUUAAGGACUAGCCGAGCAAGAUAAAGCUACCUAAGGGAUAACAGCAUAAAAUUAAGAUUAUGACCUCGAUGUUGGAUUAGGGAAUAUUGGCUAACAGCUAUUAUUGUUCUGUUCGAACCCUACGUGAUCU
Molecule: ribosomal RNA, 386 nt
Filed under: Chalcocystis aenea
Lineage: Eukaryota; Metazoa; Mollusca; Gastropoda; Stylommatophora; Charopidae
Description: partial large subunit ribosomal RNA
Rfam family: Archaeal large subunit ribosomal RNA
Source: RNAcentral